This 477-nucleotide ribosomal RNA is filed under the name uncultured bacterium. RNAcentral describes it as "bacterial SSU rRNA". It matches the Rfam family "Bacterial small subunit ribosomal RNA", at positions 365 to 832 of the family's 1533-position model. The record is from RNAcentral.
UUCGCAAUGCCCGAAAGGGUGACGAAGCGACGCCGCGUGUGGGAAGAAGGCCUUCGGGUUGUAAGCCACUGUCGGGAGUUAAGAAAUGCAAGGAUAUUAAUAGUGUCUUUGUUUGACUAAGGCUCCGGAGGAAGCCACGGCUAACUCUGUGCCAGCAGCCGCGGUAAUACAGAGGCGGCAAGCGUUGUUCGGAAUUAUUGGGCGUAAAGAGCACGUAGGCGGCUAUGUAAGUCGGUUGUGAAAGCCUUCCGCUCAACGGAAGAACAGCAUCCGAUACUACAUGGCUUGAGUGCGGGAGGGGAGGGUGGAACUUCUGGUGGAGCGGUGAAAUGCGUAGAUAUCAGAAGGAACGCCGGCGGCGAAAGCGGCUCUCUGGCCCAUAACUGACGCUGAGUGUGCGAAAGCUAGGGGAGCAAACGGGAUUAGAUACCCCGGUAGUCCUAGCCGUAAACGAUGGGCACUAAGUAGAGGGGUUUU